AAUCUAAAACAUAUUCUAUUUUUAGAAAUCGUUAGGAAGUCUAGACCCAACGAGGAAGAUGUAACCAAAAGAGGCUUUAUGCAGAGGGAUGAAGAGUUUGAUUCAAAUGACUUACCAGAAAACAAAUUAUGGCAGGUACUUAAAAGAAUUAAAG
Zophobas morio is the source of this 154-nucleotide long non-coding RNA. RefSeq lists it as uncharacterized. The transcript is spliced from 3 exons. The record is from RefSeq and is a predicted model, not a curated record. NCBI's taxonomy places the organism in Eukaryota, Metazoa, Arthropoda, Insecta, Coleoptera, Tenebrionidae.